GCUCAUACACAGCUCUGUAUCUCCUACAGAAUUACUAGAACGGACAAAGACCCUCAGACCACUGCAAUUUGACUGGAACACUCACGGGGACCACUCAAUAUGGAUGCCAGUUGACUCAUCACAGAACUUUGACUUGAAUAGGAAUUUUAUUUCUAUACAUGCCAAAUUUGACUACUGAUUAGCAUGGUGGUUGGUAAAGGGGAAUGUGACUAUUAGUCCAUUAGAUGAUUAUGAUUUAAAUUUGACUACUGAUUAGCAUGGUGGUUGGUAAAGAGGAAUGUGACUAUUAGUCCAUUAGAUGAUUAUGAUUUAAAUUUGACUACUGAUUAGCAUGGUGGUUGGUAAAGGGGAAUGUGACUAUUAGUCCAUUAGAUGAUUAUGAUUUAAAUGUGACUACUGAUUAGCAUGGUGGUUGGUAAAGGGGAAUGUGACUAUUAGUAGGAAUUAAUAGGAAUUAAUAGGAAUUCUAGAUUUAACUUUGGAUUGGAGAUGUUUGCUAUGGGUCUGGAAAGAGGGUUUAUUGUCUAACCAGACACCUAAGUAUUUGUAGUUGUCCACGUAUUCUAAGUCAGAGCCGUCCAGAGUAGUGAUGUUGGACAGGCGGGCAGGUGCAGGUAGCGAUCGGUUGAAGAGCAUGCAUUUAGUUUUACUUGUAUUUAAGAGCAAUUGGAGGCCACGGAAGGAGAGAUGUAUGGCAUUGAAGCUUGCCUGGAGGGUUGUUAACACAGUGUCCAAAGAAGGGCCAGAAGUAUUACAGAAUGGUGUCGUCUGCGUAGAGGUGGAUCAGAGACUCACCAGCAGCAAGAGCGACCUCAUUGAUGUAUACAGAGAAGAGAGUCGGUCCAAGAAUUGAACCCUGUGGCACCCCCAUAGACUGCCAGAGGUCCAGACAGCAGACCCUCCGAUUUGACACACUGAACUCUAUCAGAGAAGUAGUUGGUGAACCAGGCGAGGUAAUCAUUUGAGAAACCAAGGCUGUCGAGUCUGCCGAUGAGGAUGUGGUGAUUGACAGAGUCGAAAGCCUUGGCCAGGUCAAUGAAUACGGCUGCACAGUAAUGUUUCUUAUCGAUGGCGGUUAAGAUAUCGUUUAGGACCUUGAGCGUGGCUGAGGUGCACCCAUGACCAGCUCUGAAACCAGAUUGCAUAGCAGAGAAGGUAUGGUGAGAUUCGAAAUGGUUGGUAAUCUGUUUGUUGACUUGGCUUUCGAAGACCUUAGAAAGGCAUGGUAGGAUAGAUAUAGGUCUGUAGCAGUUUGGGUCAAGAGUGUCCCCCCCUUUGAAGACUGGGAUGACCGCAGCUGCUUUCCAAUCUUUGGGAAUCUCAGACGACACGAAAGAGAGGUUGAACAGGCUAGUAAUAGGGGUGGCAGCAAUUUUGGCAGAUAAUUUUAGAAAGAAAGGGUCCAGAUUGUCUAGCCCGGCUGAUUUGUAGGGGUCUAGAUUUUGCAGCUCUUUCAGAACAUCAGCUGAACGGAUUUGGGAGAAGGAGAAUUGGGGAAGGCUUGGGCGAGUUGCUGUGGGGGGGUGCAGUGCUGUUGACCGGGGUAGGCGUAGCCAGGUGGAAAGCAUGGCCAGCCGUAGAAAAAUGCUUCUUGAAAUUCUCAAUUAUGGUGGAUUUAUCAGUGGUGACACGAAACACUAUAUUCAGUGCAGUGGGCAGCUGGGAGGAGGUGUUCUUAUUCUCUAUGGACUUUAGUGUCCCAGAACUUUUUUGAGUUAGUGUUGCAGGAAGCAAAUUUCUGCUUGAAAAAGCUAGCCUUGGCUUUUCUAACUGCCUGUGUAUAAUGGUUUCUAGGUUCCCUGAACAGCUGCAUAUCACGGGGGCUGUCUAUAGGUAACUGUAGUUGGGUCUGUGGUUGUAAAUGGUAGAAUGUGUGUCUAUAGGUAACUGUAGUUGGGUCUGUGGUUGUAAAUGGUAGAAUGUGUGUCUAUAGGUAACUGUAGUUGGGUCUGUGGUUGUAAAUGGUAGAAUGUGUGUCUAUAGGUAACUGUAGUUGGGUCUGUGGUUGUAAAUGGUAGAAUGUGUGUCUAUAGGUAACUGUAGUUGGGUCUGUGGUUGUAAAUGGUAGAAUGUGUGUCUAUAGGUAACUGUAGUUGGGUCUGUGGUUGUAAAUGGUAGAAUGUGUGUCUAUAGGUAACUGUAGUUGGGUCUGUGGUUGUAAAUGGUAGAAUGUGUGUCUAUAGGUAACUGUAGUUGGGUCUGUGGUUGUAAAUGGUAGAAUGUGUGU
Oncorhynchus keta (chum salmon) is the source of this 2227-nucleotide long non-coding RNA. RefSeq lists it as uncharacterized. NCBI's taxonomy places the organism in Eukaryota, Metazoa, Chordata, Actinopteri, Salmoniformes, Salmonidae. The record is from RefSeq and is a predicted model, not a curated record. The transcript has 3 exons.